CCUACGGGUGGCAGCAGUGGGGAAUUUUGGACAAUGGGGGGAACCCUGAUCCAGCGACGCCGCGUGAGUGAUGAAGUAUUUCGGUAUGUAAAGCUCUAUCAGCAGGGAAGAAAAUGCCGGUACCUAACUAUGAACCUCCGGCUAAUUACGUGCCAGCAGCCGCGGUAAUACGUAGGGGGCAAGCGUUAUCCGGUUUUACUGGGGGUAAAGGGAGCGUAGACGGUGCAGCAAGUCUGAUGUGAAAGGCCGGGGCCCAACCCCGGGACGGCAUUGGAAACUGUUGAACGGGAGUACAGGAGAGGUAAGCGGAAUUCCUAGUGUAGCGGUGAAAUGCGUAGAGAUAAGGAGGAACACCAGUGGCGAAGGCGACUUACUGGACUGUAACUGACGUUGAGGCUCGAAAGCGUGGGGAGCAAACAGGAUUAGAUACCCGUGUAGUC
RNAcentral lists this ribosomal RNA (440 nucleotides) under uncultured bacterium. RNAcentral describes it as "partial 16S ribosomal RNA". It matches the Rfam family "Bacterial small subunit ribosomal RNA", at positions 338 to 795 of the family's 1533-position model. The record is from RNAcentral.